AAUGUCGACCGCAGGGUCAUUUUUGUCGGUAUUGACAUGUAGAAUGAGACUCUAUCUUUAUUUUGUUCACAUCUGAUUAAUCAGUUCUUCAAAAGAUCUAUCAGACUAUGUAUGAUGGAGUAAAUAAUUUGAUCAAUGAAUAUUCGAUUCUUUUUUCAACUGGAGAUGUUGGAAUCGAUUCAUUACAAUUCGUUCAUUUUUAUAUAUCAUUUUUUAUAUAUAAAUAUAAAAAAAUAAAGACUCAAUAGGUCGUUGGUCAGGUAAAGGCUGACCAACCCAAUGAUGCUUAGCUGGUCUUUUUGGAUGAUCAGCCACACUGGGAUAGAGACACGGCCUGUACUCGCACGAGGGGGCAGCAGUGGGGAAUCUUGGACAAUGGGCGAAAGCCCGAUCAAGCAAUAUCGCAUGAGUGAAGAAGGGCAAUGUCGCUUGUAAAGCUCUUUUAUCGAGUGCGAGAUCAUGACAAGACUCGAGGAAGAAGCCCCGCUAACUCCGUGUCAGCAUCUGCAGUAAGACCAGGGGGGAGGGCAAGUGUUCUUCGAAAUGACUGGGCGUAAAGGGUACAUAGGCGGUGAAUCAGGUUGAAAGUGAAAGUCGCCCAAAACUGGUGGAAUGCUCUCGAAAUCCAUUCACUUGAGAGUGGAAUUUUGUGUGUAGGGGUGAAAUCCAGAGAUCUACGAAGGAACGCCAAAAGCGAAGGUAGCUCUCUAGGUCCCUACCGACGCUGGGGUGCAAAAGCAAGGGGAACGAACGGGAUUAGAUACCCAAGUAGUCCAUGCCGUAAACGAUGAGUGUUCACCCUUGGUCUACAUGGAUGAGGGGCCUAGCUAACGCAUGAAACACUCCUCCUGAGGAGUACGAUCACAAGACCGAAACUCAAACGAAUUGACAGGGCCCUGCACAAGCAGUGGAGCAUGUGCUUUAAUUCGAUACAACGCACAAAACCUUACCAGCCCUUGACAUAUGAACAACAAAACCUGUCCUUCACAAGAUGGUACUGACUUUCAUACAGGUGCUACAUGGCUGUUGUCAGCUCGUGUCGUGAUAUGUUUGGUGAAGUUCUAUAACGAACGAAACCCUUCUUUUGUGUUGCUGAGACAUGCGACUAAGGAGAAAGUCUUUGCAAUCGAAGUUCGCCAAGGAGCCGAGUGAUCUGCCAGCGAGACUAAUUGAGUGCCAGCACAUAGCAGUGCUGUCAAUAAGAAGGGAGCCUUAUCCUUCGAACAAAGCACUUUCGAGUGUGCGCUUGAGUUUUCUUGCUGCUAGUGUGCUUUACUAAAAAGACUUGGCAUUCAGACGAGCCACUUGGUUGUGUGGUACAA
RNAcentral lists this ribosomal RNA (1322 nucleotides) under Citrullus lanatus (watermelon). RNAcentral's name for it is "bacterial SSU rRNA". It matches the Rfam family "Bacterial small subunit ribosomal RNA", at positions 69 to 1146 of the family's 1533-position model. The record is from RNAcentral. Lineage: Eukaryota; Viridiplantae; Streptophyta; Magnoliopsida; Cucurbitales; Cucurbitaceae.